RNAcentral lists this long non-coding RNA (640 nucleotides) under Lathyrus oleraceus (garden pea). RNAcentral's name for it is "Pisum sativum (pea) long non-coding RNA (PSAT_LNC018737)". Lineage: Eukaryota; Viridiplantae; Streptophyta; Magnoliopsida; Fabales; Fabaceae. The record is from RNAcentral.
CAUAAACUCUAAAACAAAAUAUGUUUGACUUCAAAAUAACAUGAAACAUUAUACAAUCAUGAUAAAAUUAUGAAAAUCUUAGUUUGAAAUAUAAUUAAAUUAUCUUUUUAACGCAAUUGACGAUAUCCUAAAAGGACUUACAAAACUCAGUUAUGUCUGAAAUAAGACGAUCAAUACUCUUCAGUUUUUUUCUACGAUUCCCUUAUGAAAAUUUCACUCUUAAAUCUAAUUUCUUCGACCUAAAACUUUAUCCACUCCAUUCUAAAUAUGUAUUAUCAUAAAAUCAUAUUAUUCUAAAAACCUUCAAAACAUCAAUAAUGACAUAAUCAAGAAAACAAUUCAUAAUAGAAUAUUUGACACAUAUUAGUAUAUGAAUUGAAUCAUCAAAUUCAUCACAUAAUAACACAUCAUCACCAAUUUCAGAAUUCAAAUCAAUCAAACAACAUCCUAUUGGAAGCUAAUGACUCCUCAAUUCUACCUCUUAUGCAUAUAUCAGUUAUUGGAUCAAUUCUUCCCCUUACCUGAUUAUCCCAACAACGAUUGAAAACUUCUUUCUUGAUGUCCUUUUCUCCUAAUCUUUUUUCCUUCUUUUUCUCAAUUACUUGUUCUAAUAUUUAUCUAUGUUUUCUAUGUUUUCAUG